UGAAGAAGCCUUCGGGUGUAAACCCUUUCAGUGGGAAGAAACCCUUGGGGCUAAUACCCUCGAGGAAGGACAUCACCCACAGAAGAAGCACCGGCUAACUCCGUGCCAGCAGCCGCGGUAAUACGGAGGGUGCGAGCGUUAAUCGGAAUUACUGGGCGUAAAGCGCGCGUAGGCGGUCUGAUAAGCCGGUUGUGAAAGCCCCGGGCUCAACCUGGGAACGGCAUCCGGAACUGUCAGGCUAGAGUGCAGGAGAGGAAGGUAGAAUUCCCGGUGUAGCGGUGAAAUGCGUAGAGAUCGGGAGGAAUACCAGUGGCGAAGGCGGCCUUCUGGACUGACACUGACGCUGAGGUGCGAAAGCGUGGGUAGCAAACAGGAUUAGAUACCCUGGUAGUCCACGCCGUAAACGAUGUCGACUAGCCGUUGGGCUCCUUGAGAGCUUUGUGGCGCAGUUAACGCGAUAAGUCGACCGCCUGGGGAGUACGGCCGCAAGGUUAAAACUCAAAUGAAUUGACGGGGGCCCGCACAAGCGGUGGAGCAUGUGGUUUAAUUCGAUGCAACGCGAAGAACCUUACCUACCCUUGACAUCGUGCGAACUUUCCAGAGAUGGAUUGGUGCCUUCGGGAACGCACAGACAGGUGCUGCAUGGCUGUCGUCAGCUCGUGUUGUGAAAUGUUGGGUUAAGUCCCGUAACGAGCGCAACCCUUGUCCUUAUUUGCCAGCGAGUAAUGUCGGGAACUCUAAGGAGACUGCCGGUGACAAACCGGAGGAAGGUGGGGACGACGUCAAGUCAUCAUGGCCCUUACGGGUAGGGCUACACACGUGCUACAAUGGCCGGUACAAAGGGUUGCGAAGCCGCGAGGUGGAGCUAAUCCCGAAAAGCUGGUCUCAGUCCGGAUCGGAGUCUGCAACUCGACUCCGUGAAGUCGGAAUCGCUAGUAAUCGUGAAUCAGAAUGUCACGGUGAAUACGUUCCCGGGCCUUGUACACACCGCCCGUCACACCAUGGGAGUGGACUGCACCAGAAGUGGUUAGCCUAACUUCGGAGGGCGAUCACCCACUGGGUUGUUCAACCG
This 1072-nucleotide ribosomal RNA is filed under the name Halomonas sp. T32. RNAcentral describes it as "bacterial SSU rRNA". It matches the Rfam family "Bacterial small subunit ribosomal RNA", at positions 406 to 1477 of the family's 1533-position model. Lineage: Bacteria; Pseudomonadati; Pseudomonadota; Gammaproteobacteria; Oceanospirillales; Halomonadaceae. The record is from RNAcentral.